UACGUAGGUGACAAGCGUUGUCCGGAUUUACUGGGCGUAAAGAGCGCGCAGGCGGUCGUUCAAGUCGAGUGUGAAAGCCCCCGGCUCAACUGGGGAGGGUCAUUCGAUACUGAUCGACUCGAAGGCAGGAGAGGGAAGUGGAAUUCCCGGUGUAGUGGUGAAAUGCGUAGAUAUCUGGAGGAACACCGGUGGCGAAGGCGGCAUCCUGGACCGGCAUUGACGCUGAGGCGCGAAAGCCAGGGGAGCAAACGGG
RNAcentral lists this ribosomal RNA (253 nucleotides) under uncultured bacterium. Its description in RNAcentral is "partial 16S ribosomal RNA". It matches the Rfam family "Bacterial small subunit ribosomal RNA", at positions 524 to 776 of the family's 1533-position model. The record is from RNAcentral.